AUGGAUUGGUUUCUUGUUUUUUUUUGGUGUUGCAGGGAGGUUUUAAUUGGAGCAAGGUAUCGGUUUUGGCAAGCAUCUAAAACAAAUAUUAGGGACUAUUUUAGGCAAUUGGAAAGGUUUGGCAUGAGGACAAAUGUUGGAGCUUACCGAGUUUGUAUAUGCAGGGCAUUAAACUUCUGUUUUAAAUUUGGGUUAACUCCUCUUUCUCUAGUUUUCUAUUUUUAA
This is a non-coding RNA of Vicia faba (fava bean), 225 nucleotides long. Lineage: Eukaryota; Viridiplantae; Streptophyta; Magnoliopsida; Fabales; Fabaceae. The record is from the annotation of a GenBank genome assembly.